UACGUAGGGUGCGAGCGUUAAUCGGAAUUACUGGGCAUAAAGCGCGCGCAGGCGGUCUGUUAAGACCGAUGUGAAAUCCCCGGGCUUAACCUGGGAACUGCAUUGGUGACUGGCAGGCUUUGAGUGUGGCAGAGGGAGGUAGAAUUCCACGUGUAGCAGUGAAAUGCGCAGAGAUGUGGAGGAAUACCGAUGGCGAAGGCAGCCUCCUGGGCCAACACUGACGCUCAUGCACGAAAGCGUGGGGAGCAAACAGG
RNAcentral lists this ribosomal RNA (254 nucleotides) under uncultured bacterium. RNAcentral's name for it is "partial 16S ribosomal RNA". It matches the Rfam family "Bacterial small subunit ribosomal RNA", at positions 524 to 776 of the family's 1533-position model. The record is from RNAcentral.